AGGGACGUAUUUCAUUGGACUUAUAUUCAUGACGCCAGGGCAGAACAAGAAUUAUCUGUAUCAUGUGACCCAAGUUUCUGUGCUCAUAUGGAUGGCCCUGAUGGGGACUGUGUUUAUCGGAAAUGUGAUAAGGGCGAUCAUCUGGCUUCUGAGAAAGUAUGGAUAUAUCAAGCCGAAAGAAAUAGAUGCUUCACUCUAUGUAGACUAUGAGGACAAUGACGACCUUUGAAUAUGUAGAUUGUUUUCUCAAUUUUGUGGCAAUAUCAAUUUAUGUUGUGAAAUACUUCAUUGAAAUGUGGAGAUAUAUAUAUAACAAAAUAUCUCAAAUAUAUUGAUAGAUUGCAGAAUGCAAAACACUUACAAAGAUCCUAGUUUCACCACUUAGUUCUUCGGAGCAUUGGUACUGAUAGCACUUUGAAACUGAGAAAAUUAUAGUGUA
This 439-nucleotide long non-coding RNA is filed under the name Prunus persica (peach). Its description in RNAcentral is "long non-coding RNA (PPER_LNC001444)". The record is from RNAcentral. Lineage: Eukaryota; Viridiplantae; Streptophyta; Magnoliopsida; Rosales; Rosaceae.